Molecule: ribosomal RNA, 243 nt
Filed under: uncultured Eubacteriales bacterium
Lineage: Bacteria; Bacillati; Bacillota; Clostridia; Eubacteriales
Description: uncultured Clostridiales bacterium partial 16S ribosomal RNA
Rfam family: Bacterial small subunit ribosomal RNA
Source: RNAcentral
AUUAGCGGCGGACGGGUGAGUAACACGUGAGUAACCUGCCUUAGACAUUGGGAUAGCCUCGGGAAACCGGGAUUAAUACCAAAUAAAAUCAUAAUGACACAUGUCAUAACGAUCAAAACUCCGGUGGUCUAAGAUGGACUCGCGUCCCAUUAGCUAGUUGGUAGAGUAAAAGCCUACCAAGGCGACGAUGGGUAGCUGGCCUGAGAGGGUGAACGGCCACAUUGUAACUGAGAAACGGUCCAA